This 209-nucleotide long non-coding RNA is filed under the name Prunus persica (peach). RNAcentral describes it as "long non-coding RNA (PPER_LNC002907)". The record is from RNAcentral. Lineage: Eukaryota; Viridiplantae; Streptophyta; Magnoliopsida; Rosales; Rosaceae.
UUUGUUUAUUAUGAAUGGAGGAAAUUAUGAAUUGGGAACUUAGUAAUAGAGAAAUUAAUGAAUUGGAAGUGAUCAACCAACGGCGGACUCAGGAAUUUUUUAGGAGAGGUGCAAUUUCAAAAGUUAAGAGCUAUAAAAAAAUAAAAACAACUAAAUAUCUUUAUAAUUUAAACAAUAUACAUGUAAAAUCAUAAUCAAAAUCAACAACA